GGUGAACGCUGGCGGUAGGCCUAACACAUGCAAGUCGAACGGCAGCACAGUAAGAGCUUGCUCUUACGGGUGGCGAGUGGCGGAAGGGAGAGGAAUACAUCGGAAUCUACUUUUUCGUGGGGGAUAACGUAGGGAAACUUAAGCUAAUACCGCAUACGACCUACGGGUGAAAGCAGGGGAUCGUCGGACCUUGCGCGAUUGAAUGAGCCGAUGUCGGAUUAGCUAGUUGGCGGGGUAAAGGCCCACCAAGGGGACGAUACAUAGCUGGUCUGAGAGGAGGGUCCCCGCCACGGGAGCUGAGCCGCGACCUGGGCUCUUAGGUGGGGCCGCGGUGGGUACUGUUGGCAACUGGGCGCAAGCCUGCUCCAGCCGUGCCGCCUGGAUGAAGAAGCCCUUCGGGUGGUAAAGCCCUUUUGUUGGGAAAGAAAAGCUUCGGGUUAAUCCCCCGCUGUUUGGCCGGUACCCAAAGAAUAAGCCCCGGUAACCUCCGU
RNAcentral lists this ribosomal RNA (491 nucleotides) under uncultured bacterium. Its description in RNAcentral is "partial 16S ribosomal RNA". It matches the Rfam family "Bacterial small subunit ribosomal RNA", at positions 28 to 506 of the family's 1533-position model. The record is from RNAcentral.